UACGUAGGGUGCAAGCGUUGUCCGGAAUUAUUGGGCGUAAAGAGCUCGUAGGCGGUCUGUUGCGUCGGCUGUGAAAACCCGGGGCUCAACCCCGGGCCUGCAGCCGAUACGGGCAGACUAGAGUUCGGCAGGGGAGACUGGAAUUCCUGGUGUAGCGGUGAAAUGCGCAGAUAUCAGGAGGAACACCGGUGGCGAAGGCGGAUCUCUGGGCCGAUACUGACGCUGAGGAGCGAAAGCGUGGGGAGCGAACAGG
Molecule: ribosomal RNA, 253 nt
Filed under: uncultured bacterium
Lineage: Bacteria
Description: partial 16S ribosomal RNA
Rfam family: Bacterial small subunit ribosomal RNA
Source: RNAcentral